RNAcentral lists this long non-coding RNA (290 nucleotides) under Elaeis guineensis (African oil palm). RNAcentral describes it as "long non-coding RNA (EGUI_LNC074156)". Lineage: Eukaryota; Viridiplantae; Streptophyta; Magnoliopsida; Arecales; Arecaceae. The record is from RNAcentral.
GCUUGAUGAAGUUUGACAGGUAGAAGAACUAACACCAAUGAUUGAAUCUAAAUCAGAUUUGAUGAGAUCAAACCUAGAGUCCAAUGAACAAACAUCCUUAAGGUGAUCUGAUAGAGUACCAUAUCCGUCGGACAGAUACUUAGGUUUCUUGGUCCGAGAUGGGGAUCCUAUCAAACUCGAUGAGAAUGAUGAGGAUCUGAUCACCUACAUGGAUGUAAUGUAGAGAUCCAACUCUAAUAAAUGGCUUGAAGCUAUGAGAUCCGAAAUGGAGUCCAUGAAGAUCAAUGAUG